This 75-nucleotide transfer RNA is filed under the name Escherichia coli. Its description in RNAcentral is "tRNA-Gly". It matches the Rfam family "tRNA". Rfam says of the family: Transfer RNA (tRNA) molecules are approximately 80 nucleotides in length. The record is from RNAcentral. Lineage: Bacteria; Pseudomonadati; Pseudomonadota; Gammaproteobacteria; Enterobacterales; Enterobacteriaceae.
GCGGGUAUCGUAUAAUGGCUAUUACCUCAGCCUUCCAGGCUGAUGAUGUGAGUUCGAUUCCUGCUAUCCGCCCUA